This 511-nucleotide ribosomal RNA is filed under the name uncultured microorganism. Its description in RNAcentral is "bacterial SSU rRNA". It matches the Rfam family "Bacterial small subunit ribosomal RNA", at positions 9 to 517 of the family's 1533-position model. The record is from RNAcentral.
GAGUUUGAUCAUGGCUCAGAUUGAACGCUGGCGGCAGGCCUAACACAUGCAAGUCGAGCGGAUGAAGGGAGCUUGCUCCUGGAUUCAGCGGCGGACGGGUGAGUAAUGCCUAGGAAUCUGCCUGGUAGUGGGGGAUAACGUCCGGAAACGGACGCUAAUACCGCAUACGUCCUGAGGGAGAAAGUGGGGAUCUUCGGACCUCACGCUAUCAGAUGAGCCUAGGUCGGAUUAGCUAGUUGGUGGGUAAAGGCCUACCAAGGCGGCGAUCCGUAACUGGUCUGAGAGGAUGAUCAGUCACACUGGAACUGAGACACGGUCCAGACUCCUACGGGAGGCAGCAGUGGGGAAUAUUGGACAAUGGGCGAAAGCCUGAUCCAGCCAUGCCGCGUGUGUGAAGAAGGUCUUCGGAUUGUAAAGCACUUUAAGUUGGGAGGAAGGGCAGUAAGUUAAUACCUUGCUGUUUUGACGUUACCCACAGAAUAAGCACCGGCUAACUUCGUGCCAACAGCAG